Long non-coding RNA from Oncorhynchus keta (chum salmon), 1180 nucleotides. RefSeq lists it as uncharacterized. The record is from RefSeq and is a predicted model, not a curated record. Lineage: Eukaryota; Metazoa; Chordata; Actinopteri; Salmoniformes; Salmonidae. The transcript is spliced from 3 exons.
UUUAUCUAGAGACUACAUCCUGUUUGUUCCAGUGGAAGGUGUUUUAUCUAGACUACAUCCUGUUUGUUCCAGUGUAAGGUGUUAGUCAGGUGUUUUAUCUAGAGACUACAUCCUGUUUGUUCCAGUGUAAGGUAUUAGUCAGGUGUUUUAUCUAGAGACUACAUCCUGUUUGUUCCAGUGUAAGGUGUUUUAUCUAGAGACUACAUCCUGUUUGUUCCAGUGUAAGGUGUUUUAUCUAGAGACUACAUCCUGUUUGUUCCAGUGGAAGGUGUUAGUCAGGUGUUUUAUCUAGAGACUACAUCCUGUUUGUUCCAGUGGAAGGUGUUUUAUCUAGACUACAUCCUGUUUGUUCCAGUGUAAGGUGUUAGUCAGGUGUUUUAUCUAGAGACUACAUCCUGUUUGUUCCAGUGUAAGGUGUUUUAUCUAGAGACUACAUCCUGUUUGUUCCAGUGUAAGGUGUUAGUCAGGUGUUUUAUCUAGAGACUACAUCCUGUUUGUUCCAGUGUAAGGUGUUAGUCAGGUGUUUUAUCUAGAGACUACAUCCUGUUUGUUCCAGUGUAAGGUAUUAGUCAGGUGUUUUAUCUAGACUACAUCCUGUUUGUUCCAGUGUAAGGUGUUAGUCAGGUGUUUUAUCUAGAGACUACAUCCUGUUUGUUCCAGUGUAAGGUGUUUUAUCUAGAGACUACAUCCUGUUUGUUCCAGUGUAAGGUGUUUUAUCUAGAGACUACAUCCUGUUUGUUCCAGUGUAAGGUGUUAGUCAGGUGUUUUAUCUAGAGACUACAUCCUGUUUGUUCCAGUGUAAGGUGUUUUAUCUAGAGACUACAUCCUGUUUGUUCCAGUGUAAGGUGUUAGUCAGGUGUUUUAUCUAGAGACUACAUCCUGUUUGUUCCAGUGUAAGGUGUUUUAUCUAGAGACUACAUCCUGUUUGUUCCAGUGUAAGGUGUUUUAUCUAGAGACUACAUCCUGUUUGUUCCAGUGUAAGGUGUUAGUCAGGUGUUUUAUCUAGAGACUACAUCCUGUUUGUUCCAGUGUAAGGUGUUUUAUCUAGAGACUACAUCCUGUUUGUUCCAGUGUAAGGUGUUUUAUCUAGAGACUACAUCCUGUUUGUUCCAGUGUAAGGUGUUAGACAGGUGUUUUAUCUAGAGACUACAUCCUGUUUGUUCCAGUGUAAGGUGUUUUA